This 771-nucleotide ribosomal RNA is filed under the name Campylobacter jejuni. Its description in RNAcentral is "partial 23S ribosomal RNA". It matches the Rfam family "Bacterial large subunit ribosomal RNA", at positions 1 to 789 of the family's 2925-position model. Lineage: Bacteria; Pseudomonadati; Campylobacterota; Epsilonproteobacteria; Campylobacterales; Campylobacteraceae. The record is from RNAcentral.
AAAGGUAAGCUACUAAGAGCGAAUGGUGGAUGCCUUGACUGGUAAAGGCGAUGAAGGACGUACUAGACUGCGAUAAGCUACGGGGAGCUGUCAAGAAGCUUUGAUCCGUAGAUUUCCGAAUGGGGCAACCCAAUGUAUAGAGAUAUACAUUACCUAUAUAGGAGCGAACGAGGGGAAUUGAAACAUCUUAGUACCCUCAGGAAAAGAAAUCAAUAGAGAUUGCGUCAGUAGCGGCGAGCGAAAGCGCAAGAGGGCAAACCCAGUGCUUGCACUGGGGGUUGUAGGACUGCAAUGUGCAAGAGGUGAGUUUAGCAGAACAUUCUGGAAAGUAUAGCCAUAGAGGGUGAUAGUCCCGUAUGCGAAAAACAAACCUUAGCUAGCAGUAUCCUGAGUAGGGCGGGACACGAGGAAUCCUGUCUGAAUCCGGGUCGACCACGAUCCAACCCUAAAUACUAAUACCAGAUCGAUAGUGCACAAGUACCGUGAGGGAAAGGUGAAAAGAACUGAGGUGAUCAGAGUGAAAUAGAACCUGAAACCAUUUGCUUACAAUCAUUCAGAGCCCUAUGUAGCAAUACAGGGUGAUGGACUGCCUUUUGCAUAAUGAGCCUGCGAGUUGUGGUGUCUGGCAAGGUUAAGCAAACGCGAAGCCGUAGCGAAAGCGAGUCUGAAUAGGGCGCUUAGUCAGAUGCUGCAGACCCGAAACGAAGUGAUCUAUCCAUGAGCAAGUUGAAGCUAGUGUAAGAACUAGUGGAGGACUGAACCCAUAGGCGU